GAUGAAGAACGUAGCGAAAUGCGAUAAGUAAUGUGAAUUGCAGAAUUCAGUGAAUCAUCGAAUCUUUGAACGCACAUUGCGCCCGCCAGUAUUCUGGCGGGCAUGCCUGUUCGAGCGUCAUUUCAACCCUCAGGCCCCCAGUGCCUGGCGUUGGGGAUCGGCGCGGCGCCCUCCGGGGCGCUGCCGGCCCCGAAAUUCAGUGGCGGUCUCGCUGUAGCCCUCCUCCGCGUAGUAGCACAACCUCGCGGCCUGGAGCUCGGCGGUGGCCAUGCCGUAAAACACCCCACUUCUGAAAGUUGACCUCGGAUCAGGUAGGAUUACCCGCUGAACUUAAGCAUAUCAAUAAGCGGAGGA
RNAcentral lists this unclassified non-coding RNA (354 nucleotides) under soil metagenome. RNAcentral describes it as "partial contains 5.8S ribosomal RNA, internal transcribed spacer 2, and large subunit ribosomal RNA". The stretch from base 1 to 120 matches the Rfam family "5.8S ribosomal RNA", at positions 35 to 154 of the family's 154-position model. The record is from RNAcentral.